GAUGAACGCUGGCGGCGUGCCUAAUACAUGCAAGUCGAACGAACGGACGAGAAGCUUGCUUCCCUGAUCUUACCGGCGAACGGGUGAGUAACACGUGGAUAACCUACCUAUAAGACUGGGAUAACAUCGGGAAACCGGAGCUAAUAACAGAUAAUCUUUUGACCCACAAGGUUCAAAAGUGCAUGACGGCCUUGCUAUCACUUAUAGAUGUACCCGCGCUGCAUUAGCUAGUUGGUAAGGUAACGGCUUACCAAGGCAACGAUGCAUAGCCGACCUGAGAGGGUGAUCGGCCACACUGGAACUGAGACACGGUCCAGACUCCUACGGGAGGCAGCAGUAGGGAAUCUUCCGCAAUGGGCGAAAGCCUGACGGAGCAACGCCGCGUGAGUGAUGAAGGUCUUCGGAUCGUAAAACUCUGUUGUUAGGGAAGAAAAUAUGUGUAAGUAACUGUGCACAUCUUGACGGUACCUAAUCAGAAAGCCACGGCUAACUACGUG
Molecule: ribosomal RNA, 497 nt
Filed under: uncultured bacterium
Lineage: Bacteria
Description: partial 16S ribosomal RNA
Rfam family: Bacterial small subunit ribosomal RNA
Source: RNAcentral